This is a long non-coding RNA of Chelonia mydas (Green sea turtle), 413 nucleotides long. RefSeq lists it as uncharacterized. The transcript has 3 exons. NCBI's taxonomy places the organism in Eukaryota, Metazoa, Chordata, Testudines, Cheloniidae. The record is from RefSeq and is a predicted model, not a curated record.
GAGAGCUCCUGUCCCCUUGCAGUAUUGCAUGCCUGACACCAGAAGGUGGUCUGCAAAAGUUAUAAAUAGCAGCACUUUGUAACCCCACCCACAAGCCAAAAUGGAGUCCAACAGCAAGGUGUAAGGGAGGGCUUCUCUUAAUUCUCGAGAAAGUUCCACUAAAAUAUUGCCUUCAGAUGGGAAAGCCAAGGCUCUGAGAGGAGAAGUAACUUACCCAAGAUCCCACAGGACGUCGGUUUCAGAGCUGAGAUCCCAGUGAGGUACCUUCUUAUCUGCUGGACCAUACUAUGGCACCAGGGCUUGCCCCUCUAUUUCCAGUGAAAGGAAGCCACCAUCAAGAAGCCCUGUGCAGUGACCUUUCCCCAGUGAGAUGGGAUAACUUCGUAUUAUCUGUGUAUUACCAUAGAACCUAG